Molecule: transfer RNA, 72 nt
Filed under: Camelus ferus (Wild Bactrian camel)
Lineage: Eukaryota; Metazoa; Chordata; Mammalia; Artiodactyla; Camelidae
Rfam family: tRNA
About the family: Transfer RNA (tRNA) molecules are approximately 80 nucleotides in length. Their secondary structure includes four short double-helical elements and three loops (D, anti-codon, and T loops). Further hydrogen bonds mediate the characteristic L-shaped molecular structure. tRNAs have two regions of fundamental functional importance: the anti-codon, which is responsible for specific mRNA codon recognition, and the 3' end, to which the tRNAs corresponding amino acid is attached (by aminoacyl-tRNA synthetases). tRNAs cope with the degeneracy of the genetic code in two manners: having more than one tRNA (with a specific anti-codon) for a particular amino acid; and 'wobble' base-pairing, i.e. permitting non-standard base-pairing at the 3rd anti-codon position.
Source: Rfam by way of RNAcentral
GAGGGUAUAACUCAGAGGUAGAGUGCAUGCUUAGCAUCCUAGAGGUCCUGGGUUCAAUCCCCAGUACCUUCA